This 429-nucleotide ribosomal RNA is filed under the name Pseudomonadota bacterium. RNAcentral's name for it is "Proteobacteria bacterium partial 16S ribosomal RNA". It matches the Rfam family "Bacterial small subunit ribosomal RNA", at positions 355 to 776 of the family's 1533-position model. Lineage: Bacteria; Pseudomonadati; Pseudomonadota. The record is from RNAcentral.
UGGGGAAUAUUGGACAAUGGGCGAAAGCCUGAUCCAGCCAUGCCGCGUGUGUGAAGAAGGUCUUCGGAUUGUAAAGCACUUUAAGUUGGGAGGAAGGGCAGUAAGCGAAUACCUUGCUGUUUUGACGUUACCGACAGAAUAAGCACCGGCUAACUCUGUGCCAGCAGCCGCGGUAAUACAGAGGGUGCAAGCGUUAAUCGGAAUUACUGGGCGUAAAGCGCGCGUAGGUGGAUCGUUAAGUUGAAUGUGAAAGCCCCGGGCUCAACCUGGGAACUGCAUCCAAAACUGGCGAGCUAGAGUAGGGCAGAGGGUGGUGGAAUUUCCUGUGUAGCGGUGAAAUGCGUAGAUAUAGGAAGGAACACCAGUGGCGAAGGCGACCACCUGGGCUCAUACUGACACUGAGGUGCGAAAGCGUGGGGAGCAAACAGG